This 2866-nucleotide unclassified non-coding RNA is filed under the name Hevea brasiliensis (rubber tree). The record is from RNAcentral. Lineage: Eukaryota; Viridiplantae; Streptophyta; Magnoliopsida; Malpighiales; Euphorbiaceae.
GCCAGUUUGAGAUGUUAAAUGGUAAAAUCCUAUUAAAACCGGUCAUCAACCUUCCCUUAAAACCAAACGGAUUCAGAUGUCCCACUACUUCUUCCUCAAUCUCCUCAACAAAGCCACCUCUCUGUCUCACCUAACCCAAAUCCACGCCCAGCUUCUCCUCCACGGUCUCCACACGGACAUUGCAGUUGCCACCAAACUCACCCACAAGCUCUUCGAUUUCAGCUCCACUUCCCACGCGCGUUCCCUCUUCUUCUCCAUCCCAAAACCCGAUAUUUUCCUCUUCAACGUCCUCAUCAAGGGCUUCUCUGACAAUGGCUCGCCUCUGCAGUCCAUUUCACUUUUUACCCAUUUGAGAAGAAGGCGUGGUCUUCAUCCUGAUAACUUUACUUAUGCUUUUGUUAUAUCAGCUGCUGCGAGUUUUGGGGAUGCCAAGGUUGGAUUGUUGCUUCAUGGGAAUGCUAUUGUUGAUGGGUUUGGUUCAGACUUAUAUGUUGGUUCUGCUCUUGUCGAUAUGCACUUUAAACUCUUUAGGGAAGAUUGGGCGCAGAAGGUGUUUGAUAGGUUGCCUCAUAGAGAUACUGUUUUGUUUAACACGAUAAUUUCUGGUUUGGUGAGGGUAUGUUGUUAUGAGGACUCCAUCAGACGUUUUAAGGAUAUGGUUUCUGGUAAUGGGCCACGGUUUGAUGCCACUACAGUAAUAGCAGUGUUGCCAGCUGUGGCAGAAUUACAGAAGUUGAGAUUAGGGAUGGAGAUUCAAUGCUUGGCAAUAAAGUUGGGCUUUCAUUCUCAUAUUUCUUUGCUUACGGGUUUGAUUUCAUUGUAUUCCAAAUGUGGCAAUGUUGAGACAGCAAACCUAUUGUUUAGGGAUAUUGGCAGAAAAGAUUUGAUAUCUUAUAAUGCUAUGAUUUCCGGGUCUACUUGCAAUGGUGAGAUAGAGUCUUCAGUGAGAUUGUUCAGAGAGUGGCUUGGUUCUGGAGAGAAGGUUAAUUCAAGCUCAAUUGUGGGAUUGAUUCCUGUAUAUUCCCCUUUUGGUCAUUUACUUCUUACUAACUGCAUUCAUGGCUUUUGUGUGAAAUCUGGUACUGUUUCACAUUCUUCUGUUUCAACUGCCUUGACUACAGUAUAUUGUAGAUUAAAUGAAAUGGAAUCAGCACGACAACUUUUUGAUGAAUCUUCAGAGAAAACUUUAGCUUCUUGGAAUGCCAUGAUAGCAGGUUAUACCCAAAAUGGUUUAACAGAAACAGCAAUUUCUCUUUUUCAAGAAAUGCAGAUGUCUAAUGUCAGUCCAAAUCCUGUCACAGUUACAAGUAUUCUUUCAGCUUGUGCUCAACUUGGAGCCUUGAGUCUAGGAAAAUGGGUACAUGGUUUAGUUGAGAAUAAGAGCUUUGAGUCUAAUAUAUAUGUUUCAACUGCUUUAAUCGACAUGUAUGCAAAGUGUGGGAGCAUUUUAGAGGCUCGGCAAUUAUUUGAGUCAAUGCCUCAUAAGAAUGAGGUAACUUGGAAUGCCAUGGUUUCUGGAUAUGGUGUCCAUGGGCAUGGGCAGGAAGCUCUAGAACUCUUCUAUGAGAUGUUGAAUUCUGGCAUUCGACCAUCUAGAGUCACUUUUCUUUCUGCAUUGUAUGCUUGCAGUCAUGCUGGCUUAGUAAGAGAAGGAGAUGAAAUUUUCCAUUGCAUGGUCCAUGACUAUGGGCUUGAACCCUUACCUGAGCAUUAUGCAUGCAUGGUUGACAUCCUUGGGCGAGCAGGAAAAUUGCAGGAUGCUUUGCAAUUUAUCAAGAGAAUGCCGGUUGAGCCAGGUCCCCCUGUGUGGGGUGCGUUGCUCGGUGCUUGCAUGAUUCACAAGGACACUAGCCUAGGCUGUGUGGCAUCCCAAAGGCUAUUUGAAUUGGACCCACAAAACAUGGGUUACUAUGUCUUGAUGUCAAAUAUUUACUCCACUGAGAGGAACUAUCCACAAGCUGCUUUAGUGAGACAAACAGCUAAGAGUAGAAACCUGAUAAAGACUCCAGGCUGCACCUUAAUUGAGGUUGGCCAGGUUCCACAUGUCUUCAGGUCUGGUGAUCGGUCCCAUCCACAAUCAACAGCAAUCUAUUCAGAGCUUGAUAAUUUGACUGCAAAGAUGAAGGAGGCUGGAUUUCAGACAGAGACUGAUACUGCUUUACAUGAUGUGGAGGAGGAAGAGAAGGAACUGAUGAUGAAGGUUCAUAGUGAGAAGUUAGCUAUUGUUUUUGGCCUUAUCUCUACUGAACCUGGAACUGAAAUUAGGAUCAUUAAGAAUCUCCGUGUUUGUUUAGAUUGUCAUACAGCAACUAAAUUUAUAUCUAAGAUUACAGAGAGGGUUAUUGUGGUAAGGGAUGCGAAAAGGUUCCAUCAUUUCAAGGAUGGUGUGUGUUCUUGUGGAGACUAUUGGUGACAAAUUUGUUGUCUACAAUGAUUAUGGUAUGUGAGUAUUGAACAAUCAUCUAAUCUCUCACACUUUUGUUGAUUAUAUAGCAGUGAUAAAGCAGGACAAUGAAACUGUCAUUUUGAGAUGCAUGACAUUUCAUUGAAACUUACUAAGUCACUGAAUAUUCCAAAGACUUUGUUAAAAAUUAUGAACUAGCAGGUUUUUUUUUUUGGUUGUUUAAAUUCUAUGUUUACCUAAUCCUUGAUGUCAAUAUGAAAACCAGUUAUAUCAAGCCAAUGCUCUUCAUAGCAUGUAAAGGCCAGAUCAUUUUCUGUUAUGUUCCUUUACUUUUAUAUUCAGAUUCAGUUGAAUUGAAGUGAGGAAGUUCCAAGCUCUUUUAAUUGUUCCUACAAAGUUCAAGCAUUCUCAGGAUAUCAGACACUUAUCAGAUGGCCUACCUAGAUGAUUGGGCUUUACUUG